GCUCUUCUUCUCUCCUCUAGCGGAACUACCGGGUUGCCGAAAUUCGUGAAACUGACGCAUGUCAACAUAAUUGCAAAUAUGAUGCAGAUACAGUACAAUAAACAGCACCAGCCCGGAGAAGUGUCGGUAUUGGCCCUGCCGGUUUAUCACCAUUAUGGACUUCACUCAGUACUGGGAACCAGCCUUUAUAAUGGCCUUAAAGUUGUUCUCAUGGAUAGGUGGAGUACGGAAAAGUUCUUGCGAAUAUCGAAAAGUACAAGGCGAAUUUAAUCCAAGUGGUUCCAGCUAUGGCCGCUUCGUUAAUCAAAUUCCCGGAACGUCACACUUAUGACGUCAGCAGCGUUUGUUUUGUGAUGUCAGCAGCGGCGCCAAUGGGGGUUGGUGUAGAGGAGCAUUUACGGCAGCUUUUUAAUGUUCCAUUCAUAUCGCAGUCUUAUGGACUAACAGAAACGGGGUACAACUCUGGAAACACAACUGAUCGCCAUCGUCUUGGUUCCAACGGUGUUCCUCCGAUAGGCACAAAUCUCAAGGUUGUUCUUGUCUACACACACACACACACUCAAUAAGUCCUCCUUAUUUCCCAUCUGCUGUCACCAACAUAUUUACUUUUCGUACACGUUAUUCAGCACAUACUUUUUAAAUCAUGUUUGCGUUGCAGACAGCUUUGAAACUAGGAUGUGACACAUAUUAAAAUGAAUAAAUCAUGCAUAUGUCUACAUGUAUACAAUUUAGUAAGGCAUAACAUUUGGAACAAUUCGAU
Molecule: long non-coding RNA, 760 nt
Organism: Mya arenaria
Lineage: Eukaryota; Metazoa; Mollusca; Bivalvia; Myida; Myidae
Exons: 4
Source: RefSeq, a predicted model, not a curated record